GACGUACUGUGCAAACGUUGUUCGGAAUCACUGGGCUUAAAGGGCUCGUAGGCGGCUAAUCACGUCCGUUGUGAAAUCCGGCAGCUUAACUGUCGAAGUGCCUUUGAUACUGGUUUGCUCGAGGAAGGUAGGGGUGUGUGGAACUUCUGGUGGAGCGGUGAAAUGCGUUGAUAUCAGAAGGAACGCCGGUGGCGAAAGCGACGCACUGGACCUUUUCUGACGCUGAGGCGCGAAAGCUAGGGGAGCAAACGGG
RNAcentral lists this ribosomal RNA (253 nucleotides) under uncultured bacterium. RNAcentral describes it as "partial 16S ribosomal RNA". It matches the Rfam family "Bacterial small subunit ribosomal RNA", at positions 524 to 776 of the family's 1533-position model. The record is from RNAcentral.